Gopherus flavomarginatus (Mexican gopher tortoise) is the source of this 2053-nucleotide long non-coding RNA. RefSeq lists it as uncharacterized. The record is from RefSeq and is a predicted model, not a curated record. The transcript is spliced from 5 exons. Lineage: Eukaryota; Metazoa; Chordata; Testudines; Testudinidae.
AGAGGGAGGAAGGAAAAAGUCUUUUGUCUCUUCGGUGUGUGCUUUUGCCGGAGUCAGAGAUCCAGAAAACAACCAUCUAACCCUUGUUUAAAUUAGUCUGCACAUCCCAUUAUGUGAACACAAGCGCUAUUGUAAAGACGAUUGCAUGAAGAAAAGCUAAUGGAUAUUUUAUCUUCCCAAAUAAGAUCUAAAUGCCAGUUUUUAUUUUAUUUACAUUAUUUGGGAGCUUUACCUGAGGAAUGGAAGAAGAGGAUGGAACUAGAGCAAGGAAUGGAAAAAACUUCAGUUGUGGAAAGUUAAGGAUGGACAUAAAAAAGAGACUGGAGGAAGACUGAUGCCAUAAAGGCAGGAAGGCUCUGCCUCAGACAGCCACUCAGGAAGACUGUACCGUUGCUAAGCAACUGUACCAUGAGGAUUCCUGAAUGGAGAACCAUUGAUUUACUGUGAUGUUCAGAUCUUACACAGCAAGAAAGACUGGAAGACAAGAAUUUUUAAGACAAUUAAUUUAGAUUCAGGAAGCAAGGAGGAGUAAGCAGUGUCGAUGGGGGAGCCGCGCCAGUCAACUUGCCGCCGUGAAGAUGGCCAGGUAAGUCGAACUAAGAUACUUCGACUUCAGCUACACAAAUAGCAUAGCUGAAGUUGUGUAUCUUAGUUUAACCCCCCCCACUAGUGUAGCUCAGGCCUUAGACACUUGAGCAAUGCUGCCUGGUGUGAGAAAUGAUAUAUUGAAAAGCCUGUUUUCAAGAAGGGACAAAUCUGGUUUUGGAAACUGCAUCUUUCUUUCCUUUUCAUUCCCACUUCCUGAACAACCUUUUGGUAUAGGAAAUAAAGCAAACAUGAGGAAAAGAAGAUUUAUCAGGAGAAACUGCAGCACAGUGGAUGGGGGAGCAAAGGAAGAUGAAGUGGGUGUAGAACUACUCUUCCAUGGUUCAAGUCAGAACUAGAUGGUAAGUAUCAAUCAAUAUCAAUUACGGGGCCUCACCGAGCAAACUGAAGCACAAUAUCCACUAUAGGUCUACCCUAGAUCCCAUUUUCUUCAGUGUAUAUGAGGCCUUUUGCAGAGGUCAUUUGAAAACUGAGGACAGUUAGCUAGUGAUAUAUAAUUGCGGUGUAGGCUCUACACAUUCAGUCUCCAACCAGGAGGAAUGCUAGUAUGAUACAGCGGCUGAGCGCGUUGGAGUGGAUUUGCUCCUGGGAGAGGGGAGAGUCGCUGGUAGGUUAAGUUUUGCAGUAUGAGGAUGUGCUCUCUUCUUUCAUGCAUGCGUUUAUCAAAAGGAUUUGUCUGGAAAUGGUUGGUGUCACUUUCACUCACGACCAUGCUAAAUGUGGUAUGAAAGGUAUCUUCUCCCCCACACUCCAUUUGCUCAGGCUGCGUCAUUCUUCACCCUAUGAUAACCUCAUAAUAGCAACACAUUCUCUGUGACUACAGGCUCAUUACUAUAUUCUCCUCCAAGAAAAGAUUUUACCAAGACUCACUAUUUGUUCAGAAUGGGGCAGCAGGUCUACAAAUUGAUUUGAACAACUAAAAUCAUAUUAUACCCACUCUGCCUUCUGCUUAUAAAGUCUCAGACUGACUAACUUGGUGGUGGUGUUUUUUUAAAGUCCUUAAUGGGGUAGGCCCUAGCUCUGUUUGAGAUCUUCCUUGAGAAUCUUCUCAAUAGAUAUAUACGGUCACAUACCUUUCAGGGAUUCAACCAUUGCACAUUAGGUGGAUGGGGAAUCAUACCUUUGCUUUGGGGAGUCCAAGAGCUCAUUCUAGUCUUCCAUCUCAGUCCAUUUCUCCCCAUUAAAAAACAGUUUUUUAGUAUGCUGGGCCUUUUUACUUUCUCCUAUUCACUUCCCCCCCACACCACCACCAUUGGUACUGGGCAUUCUCAACCAGUUUUAGUUGUUUCAAUGUUGGAGAUGUUAAAAUGAUCUAUAAAUAAAAGUUUCUGUUGUUAUAUAGCACUCUGGAUGCAUUCAUGGGGAUGGGGAGGAAGUGCUAUGUUAAUAAGAUGAUUAUGAUAAUUAAUCAACCAAAAGUCACAUUGCAAAAAAAUAGAUACUGGGC